CCUACGGGAGGCUGCAGUGGGGAAUAUUGCACAAUGGGGGAAACCCUGAUGCAGCGACGCCGCGUGAGUGAAGAAGUAUCUCGGUACGUAAAGCUCUAUCAGCAGGGAAGAAAAUGACGGUACCUGACUAAGAAGCACCGGCUACCUACGUGCCAGCAGCCGCGGUAAUACGUAGGGGGCAAGCGUUAUCCGGAUUUACUGGGUGUAAAGUGAGCGUAGGCGGGAGCACAAGUCUGGAGUGAAAUCCCGGGGCGUAACCCGGGAACUGCUUUGGAAACUGUGCGGCUGGAGUGCCGGAGGGGGAAGCGGAAUUCCUAGUGUAGCGGUGAAAUGCGUAGAUAUUAGGAGGAACACCGGUGGCGAAGGCGGCUUACUGGACUGUAACUGACGUUGAGGCGCGAAAGCGUGGGGAGCAAACAGGAUUAGAUACCCGUGUAGUC
This 440-nucleotide ribosomal RNA is filed under the name uncultured bacterium. RNAcentral's name for it is "partial 16S ribosomal RNA". It matches the Rfam family "Bacterial small subunit ribosomal RNA", at positions 338 to 795 of the family's 1533-position model. The record is from RNAcentral.